This 470-nucleotide unclassified non-coding RNA is filed under the name Hevea brasiliensis (rubber tree). Lineage: Eukaryota; Viridiplantae; Streptophyta; Magnoliopsida; Malpighiales; Euphorbiaceae. The record is from RNAcentral.
CCUCUGCAUCUUCAUAUUCAUCAUCAAGCUCGUCAUCAUCAUCAUCCUCUUCCUCUUCGUCGUCGUCGUCGUCGUCCUCCUCUUCUUCUUCUAGCUUCAGCUCACCCUUUUUCUUCUUUCUAUCCAAUCCAUAUUCCCUUGCCUCAUCCUCCUCCAAAUACUCUUCCAAUUCCUUUAUCUUCAAAAACUUAUCCUCUAUUCCUUCUCCACCUUUCCCCUCCCCCAUUUCACCACUCUCAUCUUCAUUCUCUCCCUUCUCACUCUCUCUUCUUCCACCUUCCUCUUCCUCUUCCUCAUCAUCAAAUUCAUCCAUAUCCAUAUCCAUGUCAUCGUCAUCAACAUCAUCAUCAAAGCGUUUGGUUUCCUUCUCUUCUAGAAUCUUCCUUUCCCCAUCAAGGAACUCAUUCUCCUUCUUCAAGACUAUCUUGCUCUCCUCGGGAUGCUUCUCCAAGUGCUUGACUUGUCGACGG